AAAAUCUUUCUAGGAGAAGAAAAAAAUCUGAAUAAAUAAUUUUAUUAAAUGUGUGCAUACUCAUGUGAAGAAUAGCGUGGACAUAAAUUUGGGGAUUGAUUGAAUCCCAAGUAGCACAGGAGAUGUAUCCUUGAAGCAAGUCUUCAUCAAGGAGUAGGUAUCACCAUUCCCACUUGAGACUGGACAGUUAGUUGAUAUGUUGCUGAAGUCCUCAGGAUGAUGCCUUGGCAUCAACUGCAUUCUUGUAGGCCACAGAGAGGAAGUUGCUAAGGUCAUCUGUCACCUUUGUGGCAGAAGACCAGUUCAUAAUGGAAACUGGUCUACUGAGCCAGAGAGACUCCCUUCAUGGCUGCCUCUGGUCCUUCUUAUCAUUCUUAUGCUUGAUCUAACAGUAUCUUUCCUUCCACCCUAGGACUACUGCUGUCCAGUAGGUUCUGCUGUGUCUCUAAGCAUAUGCAACAGGAAGUGUGGAAUUUCAUCCUGACUGCCAAACCUAUAGACCCGUGAAGACUUCAGACCCACCACCGAGGCAAGGCAAGCAACCUUUCAUAGACUACUUCAUCAGCACCCACAAUUGUGAGAAAAGGUUUUGGAAGACCAUCAUUCCUCCAUGUCAAAUUUGAAAAUAUUGUUCCCAAAUUGACUCCUUGCUAGCUUGAGUAGCCAAAAUCUGAGUCACAUGAAGAAGAAAUGAAUAACACCGGUAAUGAUAAUGAUAAUGAUGAUGAUGAUAUCAAUGAUGGAAUAUGGAGGAGGCAAGAGAAGACUGGUUUAGAAACAAGCUUUAAACAUGGCAAGACAGCCUCCUGAAAACCAGGCACAUAUCUCAUGUGAUAACGCGAAGAAUGAUGUUUUUCUUAAAAGAAUCAUGGAAAUCUGUUUUCUCUGUUUUAUAAUGAAAUUUCACCAUGGCUUUCUCUUUAGUGCUCUCUGAAGUCAUUGCUAUAUUGCUCUUUGAGGAGAAGAAGGUAAUUCUGAAUCCUAGUAACACUAUAAGCACAUAUUAGGACUGCAAACUUAAACUCCAGAACUAAUAGACUGAUAAAAGGUAGGCCCAUGACAUAGAGAGAAAAGAGAAAUAGUAAAGAAAGAGCCCAAUUAUUGUCCAGAAAAUACACCUGGGAAACAAGUCUUAAAAAUUAGUUAAGGCUUCGUAUGUGUCUGUACCUGUUUGUUUCUAUUCAACUUGCCUUUAUUGACAACUUAUCAUGUGUCAGGCACUCUUAUUCAUGCUGGUAAUGUAAACAUAAGUAAGU
This 1256-nucleotide long non-coding RNA is filed under the name Mustela putorius furo (domestic ferret). RNAcentral describes it as "lncRNA (ENSMPUG00000026146.1)". Lineage: Eukaryota; Metazoa; Chordata; Mammalia; Carnivora; Mustelidae. The record is from RNAcentral.